Molecule: long non-coding RNA, 354 nt
Filed under: Bos indicus x Bos taurus (hybrid cattle)
Lineage: Eukaryota; Metazoa; Chordata; Mammalia; Artiodactyla; Bovidae
Description: lncRNA (ENSBIXG00000023421.1)
Source: RNAcentral
GUGAGGAUUACUUAAUCUAAUAGAGUUACUUGUACUGUACAACACUUUUUUUAAAAAGGAAAAUAUAUAUGUAGGUUUACAGGAAGAAAUGCAAGGAGGCACUUCUGUAAAUGUUUUAUAAAUAUUGUUUUGAUAGGAUGCCAGACUUCAUCUUCCUUUUCUAGGUGAAGAACUGAAGAUAUAAGGGGAUUGAAGAAGAACAAGUCACAAUCCAAAUCAGACAGUCUGCAAAGAACCUGGGAUACAAACCGAUACAAACCCUGCCUUCAGGCUUCUCAAAGGAGAGACAGACACAUACACAGGUAAGUACACAGAGCAUGGUUCCUGCUGUAAGAGGUUAGCACAGUCACUGUC